UACAGAGGUGGCAAGCGUUGUUCGGAAUUACUGGGCGUAAAGGGCGCGUAGGCGGCCUUCUAAGUCAGACGUGAAAUCCCCCGGCUUAACCUGGGAACUGCGUCUGAUACUGGAGGGCUUGAGUGCGGGAGAGGGAUGUGGAAUUCCAGGUGUAGCGGUGAAAUGCGUAGAUAUCUGGAGGAACACCGGUGGCGAAGGCGGCAUCCUGGGCCAAUACUGACGCUCAUGCACGAAAGCGUGGGGAGCAAACAGG
RNAcentral lists this ribosomal RNA (253 nucleotides) under uncultured bacterium. RNAcentral describes it as "partial 16S ribosomal RNA". It matches the Rfam family "Bacterial small subunit ribosomal RNA", at positions 524 to 776 of the family's 1533-position model. The record is from RNAcentral.